UAACCCUCAAGCCUGGCUUGGUGUUGGGGCCUGCCUGUUGGCAGCCCUUAAAAUCAGUGGCGGUGCUAUUUUGCUCUGAGCGUAGUAAAUCUUCUCGCUAUAGAGUCUUGGUAGCCACUUGCCAACAACCUAAACUUCUAUGGU
Molecule: unclassified non-coding RNA, 144 nt
Filed under: uncultured Leotiomycetes
Lineage: Eukaryota; Fungi; Ascomycota; Leotiomycetes
Description: sequence contains ITS2
Source: RNAcentral